GUCUGACAAAGGCAACACAGCCUGAAAAGGUGUGACGCAAAGCCACCGGCCUGGAUUUUUUUUUGGGAGUAUGGCAGCGGGGUUUCCGGA
This 90-nucleotide non-coding RNA is filed under the name Desulfonatronospira thiodismutans. RNAcentral's name for it is "c-di-GMP sequence". It matches the Rfam family "c-di-GMP-I riboswitch aptamer". Rfam says of the family: GEMM was predicted in a large-scale screen for bacterial structured RNA regulatory elements. Genes associated with GEMM are involved in a diverse array of functions, including chemotaxis regulation, signal transduction, secretion and chitin. The record is from RNAcentral. Lineage: Bacteria; Pseudomonadati; Thermodesulfobacteriota; Desulfovibrionia; Desulfovibrionales; Desulfonatronovibrionaceae. RNAcentral also lists the same sequence under 1 other name.